GAUCCUGGCUCAGGACGAACGCUGGCGGCGUGCCUAACACAUGCAAGUCGAACGGAACUGUUUUGAAAGAUUUCUUCGGAAUGAAUUUGAUUUAGUUUAGUGGCGGACGGGUGAGUAACGCGUGAGUAACCUGCCUUCAAGAGGGGGAUAACAUUCUGAAAAGAAUGCUAAUACCGCAUGAUAUAUCGGAACCACAUGGUUUUGAUAUCAAAGAUUUUAUCGCUUGAAGAUGGACUCGCGUCCGA
Molecule: ribosomal RNA, 245 nt
Filed under: uncultured bacterium
Lineage: Bacteria
Description: partial 16S ribosomal RNA
Rfam family: Bacterial small subunit ribosomal RNA
Source: RNAcentral